Molecule: ribosomal RNA, 192 nt
Filed under: uncultured Pseudomonas sp.
Lineage: Bacteria; Pseudomonadati; Pseudomonadota; Gammaproteobacteria; Pseudomonadales; Pseudomonadaceae
Description: partial 16S ribosomal RNA
Rfam family: Bacterial small subunit ribosomal RNA
Source: RNAcentral
CCUACGGGAGGCAGCAGUGGGGAAUUUUGGACAAUGGGGGCAACCCUGAUCCAGCAAUGCAGCGUGUGUGAAGAAGGCCUUCGGGUUGUAAAGCACUUUAAGUUGGGAGGAAGGGCGUGUAGGCUAAUAUCCUGCAGCUUUGACGUUACCGACAGAAUAAGCACCGGCUAACUCUGUGCCAGCAGCCGCGGU